AUGCAUGUCUAAGUACAAACCUAACUAAGGUGAAACCGCGAAUGGCUCAUUAAAUCACACCUAAUCUAUUGGAAUGUUAGCAGUUACUUGGAUAACUGAGGUAAUUCUUGAGCUAAUACAUGCGAAAAAUCUCGACUCACGAAGAGAUGCUUUUAUUAGACCAAACCAAACAGCUUCGGCUGUACUACUGGUGACUCUGAAUAACUUUGGGCUGAUCGCAUUGCCUAGUGCAGGCGACAAUUCCUAUGAAGGUGUGCCCUAUCAACUGUCGACUGUGAUAUAGACGCUCACAGUGGUUUUGACGGGUAACGAGGAAUCUGGGUUCGAUUUCGGAGAGGGAGCCUUAAAAACGGCUACCACA
This 361-nucleotide ribosomal RNA is filed under the name Candacia bipinnata. RNAcentral's name for it is "SSU rRNA". It matches the Rfam family "Eukaryotic small subunit ribosomal RNA", at positions 51 to 414 of the family's 1831-position model. The record is from RNAcentral. RNAcentral also lists the same sequence under 3 other names. Lineage: Eukaryota; Metazoa; Arthropoda; Copepoda; Calanoida; Candaciidae.